AUUUGAACGGCUACACCCAAAAUUAUAUCUUAAUCCAACAUCGAGGUCGCAAUCUUUUUUAUCGAUAUGAACUCUCCAAAAAAAUUACGCUGUUAUCCCUAAAGUAACUUAAAUUUUUAAUCAUUAUUAAUGGAUCAAUUAUUCAUAAAUUAAUGGUUUUUAAAAUUAAAAGUUUUUUAAAUUUUAAUAUCACCCCAAUAAAAUAUUUUAAUUUAUUAUAAUAAAAAUAAUCUUUAUAAUUAAAAUAAACAAAAUAUAAAGAUUUAUAGGGUCUUCUCGUCUUUUAAAUUUAUUUUAGCUUUUUGACUAAAAAAUAAAAUUCUAUAAAAAAUUUAAAUGAAACAGUUAAUAUUUCGUCCAACCAUUCAUUCCAGCCUUCAAUUAAAAGACUAAUGAUUAUGCUACCUUUGCACAGUUAGAAUACUGCGGCCAUUUAAAAUUUUCAGUGGGCAGGUUAGACUUUAAAUUUAAUUCAAAAAGAC
RNAcentral lists this ribosomal RNA (482 nucleotides) under Drosophila nigritarsus. RNAcentral describes it as "partial 16S ribosomal RNA". The record is from RNAcentral. Lineage: Eukaryota; Metazoa; Arthropoda; Insecta; Diptera; Drosophilidae.